This 219-nucleotide ribosomal RNA is filed under the name uncultured bacterium. Its description in RNAcentral is "partial 16S ribosomal RNA". It matches the Rfam family "Bacterial small subunit ribosomal RNA", at positions 1284 to 1500 of the family's 1533-position model. The record is from RNAcentral.
AUUCUCAGUUCGGAUUGUAGGCUGAAACUCGCCUACAUGAAGCUGGAGUUACUAGUAAUCGCAGAUCAGAAUGCUGCGGUGAAUGCGUUCCCGGGUCUUGUACACACCGCCCGUCACACCACGGAAGUUGGGGGCGCCCGAAGCCACUUAGCUAACCCAUUUGGGAAGCGAGUGUCGAAGGUGAAAUCAAUAACUGGGGUGAAGUCGUAACAAGGUAAC